Molecule: unclassified non-coding RNA, 222 nt
Filed under: Hevea brasiliensis (rubber tree)
Lineage: Eukaryota; Viridiplantae; Streptophyta; Magnoliopsida; Malpighiales; Euphorbiaceae
Source: RNAcentral
AAGUACAGACCAAGAGUCCCCUCUAUGACAUUAAGCAGAGCCGAAACCUGACUUCCAUAUUUUUCAGUCAAAAGCCAAAUCAUUAUUAUAGGAACAAUUAUGGAAGACACAGCAUGAGAUUUAAAAAAAUAGGGUAGGAAAUUAAAUAGGAAACUGGAGACCUACCAUUUCACUAGUAGAGUUCUUGAGAGACUGGUCGCAAGGAUAAAAUUUCAUCGAUGA